RNAcentral lists this ribosomal RNA (387 nucleotides) under uncultured bacterium. RNAcentral's name for it is "bacterial SSU rRNA". It matches the Rfam family "Bacterial small subunit ribosomal RNA", at positions 28 to 416 of the family's 1533-position model. The record is from RNAcentral.
GACGAACGCUGGCGGCGUGCUUAACACAUGCAAGUCGAGCGGUAAGGCCCUUUCGGGGGUACACGAGCGGCGAACGGGUGAGUAACACGUGGGUGACCUGCCCUCAGCUCUGGGAUAAGCCUGGGAAACCGGGUCUAAUACUGGAUAUGACUCCAUGACGCAUGUUGUGGGGUGGAAAGCCUUGUGCGGCUGAGGAUGGGCCCGCGGCCUAUCAGCUUGUUGGUGGGGUGAUGGCCUACCAAGGCGACGACGGGUAGCCGGCCUGAGAGGGCGACCGGCCACACUGGGACUGAGACACGGCCCAGACUCCUACGGGAGGCAGCAGUGGGGAAUCUUGCGCAAUGGGCGAAAGCCUGACGCAGCGACGCCGCGUGAGGGAUGACGGCC